CAUCCUGUGGCACAGUGUGUCAGGGCAUCUAGCUGUUAAGCAGAAGGUUAGUGGUUCGAGCCCACCCAGGGAUGG
Molecule: non-coding RNA, 75 nt
Organism: Podarcis lilfordi (Lilford's wall lizard)
Lineage: Eukaryota; Metazoa; Chordata; Lepidosauria; Squamata; Lacertidae
Source: the annotation of a GenBank genome assembly